UCUAAAGCGCCAUGCUUUACGAAGCUGACGUAGUGUCACAUCAUGUAGGAGCUGUCGGAUUGCACAAGUGUUUAAUCUGGAUCCUCCAUCGGAGGGAGCAGGACGACGCUGACGUCGGGUGUCUCCUCGAUCUGGAUUUCUCGCUCGCCGACCUCCCCGCACUCACCGCUUCGCCUCCCGCCGCUGCUCUUCCUACCCCGGCACACCGCCUUCCCAGCUCGCGCCGCCUGCCUCCCUUCUACCCCGCGCGGCCGCCGCCACCUCCCCAACACGGAAUGAGCAGUGGGCAGGGGAGCGUGCCUGCCCGCGGGAUGAGCGUCGGAAGCCGCCGUGCCGCCCCGCGCGCAACCGCUGCCCCCGCAAUCCAGCUCGCCGGCAGGCCCAGCAGCCCCGCGAGUCAGGAGCUCCGCCGCCGCUUGCCCCCGUGCGCCGCCAGCAUCCGCUUCCCCUGCGGUCGCUACCGCCACUUAAGAAAGCACGACAGCCGCCGUCGGAUUCACCCCGACCCCACCCCACCCCACGUUCUCCGUGCUCCUCGCUGUAUUUGGUUCUCCGGCCGCCUCGCAGGCCCGUGCUCCGGAUCCACCGCCGCCUCGCCGGCGCGCUGCGCCUGCUCCUAGCUUCUCCAGCCCCGUCGCCAUAUUGCCGUCCCGCUCGACACCCUCUCAGCGUCUCCGGCCCAGAGCCGGAUGAGGAGAUCAGCCGGUGAGAGCCCGGAUUUCGCCGCUUCGUCCUGGGAGCGGACGACCCCGACCCGCUCCGCGCCCUCGUGAACGAGUUGGUGAUCGCGGACGUGCUCCACGGAGCACCCUACGCGAUCUUAGAAGACGAAAGCCGGCCCCUGCCGAGGCGCGUGGUCCGUCUCUGCACGGCGAAACAGGGCGGACGCUGGGCUGGCGGCAACACUGCAGGACAAGGAGACGACCGCGGCGAAAAAGCUGCAGCUCCGGGCGGUGCGCAAGCAAAUUCGGCGUGUGAUGGUGCAGGGAAGACACGUGGCAACUUGGCUUUGUUAGCGCAAAGGGCAAGGGGGGAGGGAAGCAGGGGUUCCAAGAGUGAAAGAGCAAGGGGUAUACCCAAGUGAGAUGGGCUGUGUCAAUUGGAAUGGACUCAUUAAUAAACUAACCCUAAGUAUAAGAUUUGUCAUUUAUGUGAUGGGUGCAACGAAUGGGAAACACAAAAGAAGCUUAGUUGACAGCUCAAGGCGCUACCGAUUUGACACAACACGUUGCCUUUACUUGGCUGUCGUCACAAUGGAAACCAUGUGCUCUAUCUUCAGAUACGAUCGCCUCUGAUGACAUAGAGAAAUUUGCAGGAUCUGCUCUUGGUAGAAAUAUGAUCGUACAAGUUAAUGUUCGUGCCAAGAAUGGUCACUUUAAUGUUACAUGAUCUGUAUUUCUACCACCACCUGUUCCUCUCUUUUUUACUCUUUGAGGGUCAUGUUCCAUGUCCUCUGAGCCGUGAACAAAGUUUCAGAAAGGACGCUCCACCUGGGCUUGCUGCUAACUGACGUACUGAUCAAUCAGCUAUGUUUCCACUUCUUCCAUUUCUAUGAUUUCAACUAAACUGAACUGUCUUGCCUCACCUUACUCAUGAUGGAAGAAAUGGCAGGCAGCAAAAGAACUUCACGAGCAACUAACAAGCUGCUAUCAACGUAACCCAUGGCCUUAUCUUCGUUUGGUAAUGUAUAUAUAAGCAUCUCAAGUGUCACGUUGCUUGCUCGCGAGGACUGAAAUGUAUUACGUGGUUAUUUGGAAUC
Molecule: long non-coding RNA, 1759 nt
Organism: Phragmites australis (common reed)
Lineage: Eukaryota; Viridiplantae; Streptophyta; Magnoliopsida; Poales; Poaceae
Exons: 3
Source: RefSeq, a predicted model, not a curated record